RNAcentral lists this ribosomal RNA (563 nucleotides) under Geoclemys hamiltonii. Its description in RNAcentral is "partial 16S ribosomal RNA". It matches the Rfam family "Bacterial large subunit ribosomal RNA", at positions 1818 to 2603 of the family's 2925-position model. The record is from RNAcentral. Lineage: Eukaryota; Metazoa; Chordata; Testudines; Geoemydidae.
GCCCCUAGCAAUAUUACAAGUAUUAGGGGUAAUGCCUGCCCAGUGACACUGUUAAACGGCCGCGGUAUCCUAACCGUGCAAAGGUAGCAUAAUCACUUGUCUUUUAAAUAGAGACUAGAAUGAAUGGCCAAACGAGGUUCCACCUGUCUCUUACAAAUAAUCAGUGAAAUUGAUCUUCCUGUGCAAAAGCAGGAAUAAAAAUAUAAGACGAGAAGACCCUGUGGAACUUCAAAUACAAGUCAACUAUUAUCAAUAUCUACCCACGGACCCACACCUAACUAGUGCUGACUUAUAUUUUUCGGUUGGGGCGACCUCGGAGUAAAACAAAACCUCCGAAAAAUAGAACUACACCUAAACCUAGACCCUACAACUCAAAGUGCCCCCGGCUAAAUGAUCCAACAUACUUGAUCAACGAACCAAGCUACCCCAGGGAUAACAGCGCAAUCCUAUCCUAGAGUUCCUAUCGACGAUAGGGUUUACGACCUCGAUGUUGGAUCAGGACAUCCUGAUGGUGCAGCCGCUAUCAAGGGUUCGUUUGUUCAACGAUUAACAGUCCUACGUGA